Non-coding RNA from Chelonoidis abingdonii (Abingdon island giant tortoise), 373 nucleotides. The record is from RefSeq and is a predicted model, not a curated record. NCBI's taxonomy places the organism in Eukaryota, Metazoa, Chordata, Testudines, Testudinidae.
GCAGUGACUUGUCUAAGGUCAUCUAGUAGGCCAUUGGCAGAGCUGGGAGUAGAAUCCAGGUCUCCUAAGUCCCAAUCCAGCACUCCAGCCACUAGGCAGCACUGCCUCCCUCAUGUAGCUUUGGCUGUCGUUAAUUUUGUAAAAACAAUCCUGCUGCAAAUAGCUGUUGGCUCAAACAUCACUAAAUGACUCAGCUAUGGUAAAAAUCCUAUUUUCAGAACGAUCAUUUCCUUCCCUUUAACACCUCAGAUUAUCAAUAAUAAGAAAAAAUAAAUGAAAACCAAAUGAAAGGGAAUUGGCUAGCUGUGUGAUACUUCAUCGAGGGCUUGGUACAUUUCAAUCCAUUUCUGUAAACUGGGCAUGUCCUGCUUCU